This 1536-nucleotide ribosomal RNA is filed under the name uncultured archaeon. Its description in RNAcentral is "bacterial SSU rRNA". It matches the Rfam family "Archaeal small subunit ribosomal RNA". The record is from RNAcentral.
AAGUGAACAUCGUCGGUAUUGACUGCAUCGCGUGUCGCCCUUUUCCGGUUGAUCCCGCCGGAGGUUACUGCUAUCGAGGUUCGACUAAGCCAUGCGAGUCGAAUGUAGCAAUACAUGGCGUACUGCUCAGUAACACGUGGACAACCUACCCUUGGGAUGGGGAUAAACCCGGGAAACUGGGUAUAAUACCCGAUAGUCCUCGACUGCUGGAAUGCAUCGAGGUCGAAAGCUCCGGUGCCCAAGGAUGGGUCUGCGGCCUAUCAGGUAGUAGUGGGUGUAGCGUACCUACUAGCCUACGACGGGUACGGGUUGUGAGAGCAAGAGCCCGGAGAUGGAUUCUGAGACACGAAUCCAGGCCCUACGGGGUGCAGCAGGCGCGAAAACUUUACAAUGCUGGAAACAGCGAUAAGGGAACCUCGAGUGCCAGGUUACAAAUCUGGCUGUCGUGAUGCCUAAAAAGCAUUGCAUAGCAAGGGCCGGGCAAGACCGGUGCCAGCCGCCGCGGUAACACCGGCGGCUCGAGUGGUAACCGUUAUUAUUGGGUCUAAAGGGUCUGUAGCCGGCCGGAUAAGUCUCUUGGGAAAUCCAGCAGCUCAACUGUUGGGCUUUCAGGAGAUACUGUCUGGCUCGAGGCCGGGAGAGGUGAGAGGUACUUCAGGGGUAGGGGUGAAAUCUUGUAAUCCUUGAAGGACCACCAGUGGCGAAGGCGUCUCACCAGAACGGACCUGACGGCAAGGGACGAAAGCUAGGGGCACGAACCGGAUUAGAUACCCGGGUAGUCCUAGCCGUAAACGAUACUCGCUAGGUGUCGGCCACGGUGCGACCGUUGUCGGUGCCGUAGGGAAGCCGUGAAGCGAGCCACCUGGGAAGUACGGCCGCAAGGCUGAAACUUAAAGGAAUUGGCGGGGGAGCACCACAACGGGUGGAGCUUGCGGUUUAAUUGGAUUCAACGCCGGAAAUCUUACCGGGACCGACAGCAAUAUGAAGGCCAGGCUGAAGACUUUGCCGGAUUAGCUGAGAGGUGGUGCAUGGCCGUCGUCAGUUCGUACUGUGAAGCAUCCUGUUAAGUCAGGCAACGAGCGAGACCCACGCCCACAGUUGCCAGCGUACUCUCCGGAGUGACGGGUACACUGUGGGGACCGCCGCUGCUAAAGCGGAGGAAGGAAUGGGCAACGGUAGGUCAGUAUGCCCCGAAUAUCCCGGGCUACACGCGAGCUACAAUGGUUGGUACAAUGGGUAUCUACCCCGAAAGGGGAUGGAAAUCUCCUAAAGCCAAUCUUAGUUCGGAUUGAGGGCUGCAACUCGCCCUCAUGAAGCUGGAAUCCGUAGUAAUCGCGUUUCAACAGAACGCGGUGAAUACGUCCCUGCUCCUUGCACACACCGCCCGUCAAACCACCCGAGUAGGGUCUGAAUGAGAGCGCUUCCUUCGGAGGCGUUCGAAUUUGGGCUUUGCAAGGGGGGUUAAGUCGUAACAAGGUAACCAAGGGCGACACGCGAUUGCAGCGAGCCUCAGACACUGGCCGUCGUACCUACCUU